CUUCAGGUCGGGGACAACCACUGGAAACGGUGGCUAAUACCGGAUAUACCUAACAGUGAAAGAUUAAUUGCCUGAAGAGGAGCUCGCGUCCGAUUAGCUAGUUGGUGGGGUAAAAGCCUACCAAGGCGACGAUCAGUAGCUGGUCUGAGAGGACGAUCAGCCACACUGGAACUGAGACACGGUCCAGACUCCUACGGGAGGCAGCAGUGGGGAAUUUUCCGCAAUGGGCGAAAGCCUGACGGAGCAAUACCGCGUGAGGGAGGAAGGCUCUUGGGUUGUAAACCUCUUUUCUCAGGGAAGAAUACAUGACGGUACCUGAGGAAUCAGCAUCGGCUAACUCCGUGCCAGCAGCCGCGGUAAUACGGAGGAUGCAAGCGUUAUCCGGAAUGAUUGGGCGUAAAGCGUCCGCAGGUGGCAUUGAAAGUCUGCUGUCAAAGAGUCUGGCUCAACCAGAUGUCGGCAGUGGAAACUACACUCGCUAGAGUACGUUCGGGGCAGAGGGAAUUCCUGGUGUAGCGGUGAAAUGCGUAGAGAUCAGGAAGAACACCGGUGGCGAAGGCGCUCUGCUAGGCCGUAACUGACACUGAGGGACGAAAGCUAGGGGAGCGAAUGGGAUUAGAUACCCCAGUAGUCCUAGCCGUAAACGAUGGAUACUAGGUGUUGCUUGUAUCGACCCGAGCAGUACCGUAGCUAACGCGUUAAGUAUCCCGCCUGGGGAGUACGCAGGCAACUGUGAAACUCAAAGGAAUUGACGGGGGCCCGCACAAGCGGUGGAGUAUGUGGUUUAAUUCGAUGCAACGCGAAGAACCUUACCAGGACUUGACAUGUCGCGAACCCGUGUGAAAGCAGGGGGUGCCUUCGGGAGCGCGAACACAGGUGGUGCAUGGCUGUCGUCAGCUCGUGUCGUGAGAUGUUGGGUUAAGUCCCGCAACGAGCGCAACCCUCGUUUUUAGUUGCCAUCAUUCAGUUGGGCACUCUAGAGAGACUGCCGGUGACAAACCGGAGGAAGGUGGGGAUGACGUCAAGUCAGCAUGCCCCUUACGUCCUGGGCUACACACGUACUACAAUGCGGCGAACAGAGGGCAGCGAGCUAGCGAUAGCAAGCUAAUCCCGGAAAUCGGCGCUCAGUUCAGAUCGCAGGCUGCAACUCGCCUGCGUGAAGUUGGAAUCGCUAGUAAUUGCAGGUCAGCAUACUGCAGUGAAUUCGUUCCCGGGCCUUGUACACACCGCCCGUCACACCAUGGAAGCUGGUAGUGCCCGAAGUCAUUACCCCAACCUUUCGGGGAGGGGGAUGCCUAAGGCAGGACUGGUGACUGGGGUGAAGUCGUAACAAGGUAAC
This 1339-nucleotide ribosomal RNA is filed under the name Stigonema panniforme H54-6. RNAcentral describes it as "bacterial SSU rRNA". It matches the Rfam family "Bacterial small subunit ribosomal RNA", at positions 130 to 1500 of the family's 1533-position model. Lineage: Bacteria; Bacillati; Cyanobacteriota; Cyanophyceae; Nostocales; Stigonemataceae. The record is from RNAcentral.